AUGAACGCUGGCGGCGUGCCUAAUACAUGCAAGUCGAGCGAACAGACGAGGAGCUUGCUCCUCUGACGUUAGCGGCGGACGGGUGAGUAACACGUGGAUAACCUACCUAUAAGACUGGGAUAACUUCGGGAAACCGGAGCUAAUACCGGAUAAUAUAUUGAACCGCAUGGUUCAAUAGUGAAAGACGGUUUUGCUGUCACUUAUAGCUGGAUCCGCGCCGCAUUAGCUAGUUGGUAAGGUAACGGCUUACCAAGGCAACGAUGCGUAGCCGACCUGAGAGGGUGAUCGGCCACACUGGAACUGAGACACGGUCCAGACUCCUACGGGAGGCAGCAGUAGGGAAUCUUCCGCAAUGGGCGAAAGCUUGACGGAGCAACGCCGCGUGAGUGAUGAAGGUCUUCGGAUCGUAAAACUCUUUUAUUAGGGAAGAACAAAUGUGUAAGUAACUAUGCACGUCUUGACGGUACCUAAUCAGAAAGCCACGGCUAACUACGUG
RNAcentral lists this ribosomal RNA (496 nucleotides) under uncultured bacterium. Its description in RNAcentral is "partial 16S ribosomal RNA". It matches the Rfam family "Bacterial small subunit ribosomal RNA", at positions 29 to 507 of the family's 1533-position model. The record is from RNAcentral.